CGGCUGAUAAGCCUGGUGUUGAGGCACAGUUGGAGACGUCGCCCCUCUUCUAUGCUUUUGAUAGUCCGGAGAUGGUUGGACUCUGUUCCCAAUGUGUGCUGAAAUUGCAGGUGAUAUUGCUGGAGGUGGUGGAGGAGGCAUCAUUGAACUAUCUGUGCGACUCAGACUUUCCACACUUGUAUACAUGGUACUGUUACUACCACGUCGAUCGUAGGAUCUAAAUGGAAGGAUUCAGCAUUAUGUCCGAGUGUCCUUCUACUUGUGCGUUACCGAUUCAUGUAUUCCUGAGUGGGAGUCUGUGGCCGAGAAUUCGGUGCAGAGAAUUGAUCUGGUGUUACCGAUCUAAACAUUGGAGCCUGAUUAUCCAUUUCUUCUGGCCUUAGUCUUCCUCUGCCACGGGUACGAGCAGGAAUAGUGUUUGACCAAUUUUGCUGAGGUGGUAAGGACCCAGUCGGUGGUAGAUGCUGCAUCGUUUGUGAAUGAUGAAUCACAGGUGAAUAGUUAUACCCAGAAGUACC
Molecule: unclassified non-coding RNA, 518 nt
Filed under: Athalia rosae (coleseed sawfly)
Lineage: Eukaryota; Metazoa; Arthropoda; Insecta; Hymenoptera; Athaliidae
Description: misc RNA ENSAEAG00005006217.1
Source: RNAcentral